Molecule: long non-coding RNA, 939 nt
Organism: Pseudophryne corroboree (corroboree frog)
Lineage: Eukaryota; Metazoa; Chordata; Amphibia; Anura; Myobatrachidae
Exons: 4
Source: RefSeq, a predicted model, not a curated record
GAGGGAGCAAAAUGUUGGCCGUGGUACUGUUCUGCAGUAAUCAUAGAACCGCUCAGCGCUGUGACAGCAACAGCCCGCCGGGGAGCCAGGAGGACAGCUGAGAGCAGCAGUGACGCCCCCUACUACAUAAUUUAUCACACUGCGAUGUGCGAUCUGUGAAGAUAGGAGCCGACUUCCUGGCCACUCCUCUUCCACCCACUGUGCACAUGACUAGAGAGGAGGCUGUAAGCACGCUUCUGAGCUCCCAAACAGCAGAAAAGAUGUCCUAUGAGAGCCGCGAUUUUCUAUUAGGCUUUAUCAGCCUGUACCGUGGGAAGGAGUGUCUCUGGCUGACGUCCUCACCGGACUACAGCAACUAUCAGAAGAGGGAGGCUGCUUACAACUGCCUGGAGGAGUACUCCAAGCCCACCUUCUCUGGGGCCUCAGUGACCUGGGUCCGGAAGUAAAUUGCGAAUAUAAAGACAGUGUUCGUAAAAGAGAACCGCAAGGUGGAGGAGUCGAAAAGGUCAGGGGCCGGUGCAGACAAGGUCUAUGAGCCGCAGCUGUGGUAUUACAAUGAACUAAACUUCCUCCUGGAGAAACGGUCAGUUAAGGAGUCCCUAGUGGUGAUGGUAGAGCCCGAGGAGGGAAGUCUGGAUGUGGAGGUAGCCGAAGGGGCGGCUGAUGAAUGGAGUUGGUGGUAAGCCUAUCAUAGAAGCAUGUAUUUUUCAAGGAUCCACCAUCUGAGCAACAACCAUUUUUCCCAACAUCCAGGAAAAUAAAUUCAUAGUCUGCAUUGACCACCGCCAUGAGAACAAUGCUAAAGUAGCCUUUAUAAUUGAAAUAGUCUGACAUGCUGUUGGUGGGUUUGGUGAUGCGCACAUGUUUCCUGUCUAUCGCACCACCACAGUUUGGGUAAUUCCAGCGUCUGUUAAAGUCCUUGGCAAUAGUUUUCCAUUC